RNAcentral lists this ribosomal RNA (497 nucleotides) under uncultured bacterium. Its description in RNAcentral is "partial 16S ribosomal RNA". It matches the Rfam family "Bacterial small subunit ribosomal RNA", at positions 28 to 507 of the family's 1533-position model. The record is from RNAcentral.
GAUGAACGCUGGCGGCGUGCCUAAUACAUGCAAGUCGAGCGAACGGACGAGAAGCUUGCUUCUCUGAUGUUAGCGGCGGACGGGUGAGUAACACGUGGAUAACCUACCUAUAAGACUGGGAUAACUUCGGGAAACCGUAGCUAAUACCGGAUAAUAUUUUGAACCGCAUGGUUCAAAAGUGAAAGACGGUCUUGCUGUCACUUAUAGGUGGAUCCGCGCUGCAUUAGCUAGUUGGUAAGGUAACGGCUUACCAAGGUAACGAUGCAUAGCCGACCUGAGAGGGUGAUCGGCCACACUGGAACUGAGACACGGUCCAGACUCCUACGGGAGGCAGCAGUAGGGAAUCUUCCGCAAUGGGCGAAAGCCUGACGGAGCAACGCCGCGUGAGUGAUGAAGGUCUUCGGAUCGUAAAACUCUGUUAUUAGGGAAGAACAUAUGUGUAAGUAACUGUGCACAUCUUGACGGUACCUAAUCAGAAAGCCACGGCUAACUACGUG